Long non-coding RNA from Onychostoma macrolepis, 304 nucleotides. RefSeq lists it as uncharacterized. The record is from RefSeq and is a predicted model, not a curated record. NCBI's taxonomy places the organism in Eukaryota, Metazoa, Chordata, Actinopteri, Cypriniformes, Cyprinidae. The transcript is spliced from 3 exons.
GCAUCUCCCUGGAUUCUGUAACAACAUGCUUGUAUUUGUUUUUCUCUGCAGAUAAGUUACUUGAGCAGCUAAUAUCAGGGGUGAGCUAAAAAGAAAACGCAUAUCAUCGUGAACCAUGUACAAGAGUGUCCUUCACGUCAUAAAGCCAGUAGAAGUGAGGAGAGCGCUUUUACGAAUCAAAACUACAAAUGUUGAUGGGGAUAACGAGAACAAAACAGACCCAAUUCAACAAAUUUAGUGAGAUUGAGGUGGUUACACUUGAACCAGUACCAACAGAAUGCCAUCAAAAUGCCAUUUGUCUUCA